RNAcentral lists this ribosomal RNA (498 nucleotides) under uncultured bacterium. RNAcentral describes it as "partial 16S ribosomal RNA". It matches the Rfam family "Bacterial small subunit ribosomal RNA", at positions 30 to 523 of the family's 1533-position model. The record is from RNAcentral.
AUUGAACGCUGGCGGCAUGCCUUACACAUGCAAGUCGAACGGUAACAGGUCUUCGGAUGCUGACGAGUGGUGAACGGGUGAGUAAUACAUCGGAACGUGCCUAGUAGUGGGGGAUAACUACUCGAAAGAGUGGCUAAUACCGCAUGAGAUCUACGGAUGAAAGCAGGGGAUCGCAAGACCUUGUGCUACUAGAGCGGCCGAUGGCAGAUUAGGUAGUUGGUGGGAUAAAAGCUUACCGAGCCGACGAUCUGUAGCUGGUCUGAGAGGACGAUCAGCCACACUGGGACUGAGACACGGCCCAGACUCCUACGGGAGGCAGCAGUGGGGAAUUUUGGACAAUGGGCGAAAGCCUGAUCCAGCAAUGCCGCGUGCAGGAUGAAGGCCUUCGGGUUGUAAACUGCUUUUGUACGGAACGAAAAGCCCCGGGUUAAUACCCUGGGGUCAUGACGGUACCGUAAGAAUAAGCACCGGCUAACUACGUGCCAGCAGCCGCGGUAA